AUUGAACGCUAGCGGGAUGCUUUACACAUGCAAGUCGAACGGCAGCGCGGACUUCGGUCUGGCGGCGAGUGGCGAACGGGUGAGUAAUGUAUCGGAACGUGCCCAGUAGCGGGGGAUAACUACGCGAAAGCGUAGCUAAUACCGCAUACGCCCUACGGGGGAAAGCAGGGGAUCGUAAGACCUUGCACUAUUGGAGCGGCCGAUAUCGGAUUAGCUAGUUGGUGAGGUAACGGCUCACCAAGGCGACGAUCCGUAGCUGGUUUGAGAGGACGACCAGCCACACUGGGACUGAGACACGGCCCAGACUCCUACGGGAGGCAGCAGUGGGGAAUUUUGGACAAUGGGGGCAACCCUGAUCCAGCCAUCCCGCGUGUGCGAUGAAGGCCUUCGGGUUGUAAAGCACUUUUGGCAGGAAAGAAACGUCGCGGGCUAAUACCCCGUGGAACUGACGGUACCUGCAGAAUAAGCACCGGCUAACUAUGUG
RNAcentral lists this ribosomal RNA (484 nucleotides) under uncultured bacterium. Its description in RNAcentral is "partial 16S ribosomal RNA". It matches the Rfam family "Bacterial small subunit ribosomal RNA", at positions 30 to 507 of the family's 1533-position model. The record is from RNAcentral.